GACGAACGCUGGCGGCGUGCUUAACACAUGCAAGUCGAACGCUGAAGCUUGGUGCUUGCACUGGGUGGAUGAGUGGCGAACGGGUGAGUAAUAAGUGAGUAACCUGCCCUUGACUCUGGGAUAAGCCUGGGAAACUGGGUCUAAUACUGGAUACGACAUGUCACCGCAUGGUGGUGUGGGGAAAGGGUUUUACUGGGUUUGGAUGGGCUCACGGCCUAUCAGCUUGUUGGUGGGGUAAUGGCUCACCAAGGCGACGACGGGUAGCCGGCCUGAGAGGGUGACCGGCCACACUGGGACUGAGACACGGCCCAGACUCCUACGGGAGGCAGAAGUGGGGAAUAUUGCACAAUGGGCGGAAGCCUGAUGCAGCGACGCCGCGUGUGGGAUGACGGCCUUCGGGUUGUAAACCUCUUUCAGCACAGAAGAAGCGAAAGUGACGGUACGUGCAGAAGAAGCGCCGGCUAACUACGUG
This 472-nucleotide ribosomal RNA is filed under the name uncultured bacterium. RNAcentral's name for it is "partial 16S ribosomal RNA". It matches the Rfam family "Bacterial small subunit ribosomal RNA", at positions 28 to 507 of the family's 1533-position model. The record is from RNAcentral.